This 299-nucleotide signal recognition particle RNA is filed under the name Aotus nancymaae (Ma's night monkey). RNAcentral describes it as "Metazoan signal recognition particle RNA (ENSANAG00000012436.1)". It matches the Rfam family "Metazoan signal recognition particle RNA". Rfam says of the family: The signal recognition particle (SRP) is a universally conserved ribonucleoprotein. It is involved in the co-translational targeting of proteins to membranes. The record is from RNAcentral. Lineage: Eukaryota; Metazoa; Chordata; Mammalia; Primates; Aotidae.
GCCGGGUGCGGUGGCGCGUGCCUGUAGUCCCAGCUAUUUAGGAGGCUGAGGCUGGAGGAUCUCUUGAGCCCGGGAGUUCUGGGCUGUAGUGUGCUAUGCUGAUCAGGUGUCCACACUAAGUUUGGCAUCAAUAUGGUGACCUCCCGGGAGCGGGGGACCACCAGGUUGCCUAGGGAGGGGUGAACCGGCCCAGGUCGGAAACGGAGCAGGUCAAAACUCCUGUGCUGAUCAGUAGUGGGAUCACGCCUGUGAAUAGCCACUGCACUCCAGCCUGGGCAACAUAGCAAGACCCUGUCUCU